This 253-nucleotide ribosomal RNA is filed under the name uncultured bacterium. Its description in RNAcentral is "partial 16S ribosomal RNA". It matches the Rfam family "Bacterial small subunit ribosomal RNA", at positions 524 to 776 of the family's 1533-position model. The record is from RNAcentral.
UACGUAGGGUGCAAGCGUUGUCCGGAAUUAUUGGGCGUAAAGAGCUCGUAGGCGGUCUGUUGCGUCGGCUGUGAAAACCCGGGGCUCAACUCCGGGCCUGCAGCCGAUACGGGCAGACUUGAGUUCGGCAGGGGAGACUGGAAUUCCUGGUGUAGCGGUGAAAUGCGCAGAUAUCAGGAGGAACACCGGUGGCGAAGGCGGGUCUCUGGGCCGAUACUGACGCUGAGGAGCGAAAGCGUGGGGAGCGAACAGG